GACGAACGCUGGCGGCGUGCUUAACACAUGCAAGUCGAACGGAAAGGCACUGCUUUUGUGGGGUGCUCGAGUGGCGAACGGGUGAGUAACAGGUGAGUAACCUGCCCUUGACUUUGGGAUAACUUCAGGAAACUGGGGCUAAUACAGGAUAGCAGCUCAUGCUGCAUGGUGGGGGUUGGAAAGUUUCGGCGGUUGGGGAUGGACUCGCGGCUUAUCAGCUUGUUGGUGGGGUAGUGGCUUACCAAGGCUUUGACGGGUAGCCGGCCUGAGAGGGUGACCGGCCACAUUGGGACUGAGAUACGGCCCAGACUCCUACGGGAGGCAGCAGUGGGGAAUAUUGCACAAUGGGCGGAAGCCUGAUGCAGCAACGCCGCGUGCGGGAUGACGGCCUUCGGGUUGUAAACCGCUUUCGCCUGUGACGAAGCGUGAGUGACGGUAAUGGGUAAAGAAGCACCGGCUAACUACGUG
This 468-nucleotide ribosomal RNA is filed under the name uncultured bacterium. RNAcentral's name for it is "partial 16S ribosomal RNA". It matches the Rfam family "Bacterial small subunit ribosomal RNA", at positions 28 to 507 of the family's 1533-position model. The record is from RNAcentral.